RNAcentral lists this ribosomal RNA (449 nucleotides) under Escherichia coli. RNAcentral describes it as "partial 23S ribosomal RNA". It matches the Rfam family "Bacterial large subunit ribosomal RNA", at positions 613 to 1062 of the family's 2925-position model. Lineage: Bacteria; Pseudomonadati; Pseudomonadota; Gammaproteobacteria; Enterobacterales; Enterobacteriaceae. The record is from RNAcentral.
UAAUGGGUCAGCGACUUAUAUUCUGUAGCAAGGUUAACCGAAUAGGGGAGCCGAAGGGAAACCGAGUCUUAACUGGGCGUUAAGUUGCAGGGUAUAGACCCGAAACCCGGUGAUCUAGCCAUGGGCAGGUUGAAGGUUGGGUAACACUAACUGGAGGACCGAACCGACUAAUGUUGAAAAAUUAGCGGAUGACUUGUGGCUGGGGGUGAAAGGCCAAUCAAACCGGGAGAUAGCUGGUUCUCCCCGAAAGCUAUUUAGGUAGCGCCUCGUGAAUUCAUCUCCGGGGGUAGAGCACUGUUUCGGCAAGGGGGUCAUCCCGACUUACCAACCCGAUGCAAACUGCGAAUACCGGAGAAUGUUAUCACGGGAGACACACGGCGGGUGCUAACGUCCGUCGUGAAGAGGGAAACAACCCAGACCGCCAGCUAAGGUCCCAAAGUCAUGGUUAA